UGGGGAAUAUUGGGCAAUGGGGGCAACCCUGACCCAGCGACGCCGCGUGGGGGAAGACGGCUUUCGGGUUGUAAACCUCUUUUGUACGGGAAGAAGGAAGUGACGGUACUGUACGAAUAAGUCCCGGCUAACUACGUGCCAGCAGCCGCGGUAAUACGUAGGGGACGAGCGUUGUCCGGAAUUACUGGGCGUAAAGGGCGCUCAGGCUGUGCUGCAAGUCAGCUGUUAAAUGUCUGGGCUUAACCCGGGCAUGCGGUUGAGACUGCAGUGCUGGAGUGCUGUAGAGGCAAGUGGAAUUCCCAGUGUAGCGGUGAAAUGCGUAGAUAUUGGGAAGAACACCGGUGGCGAAGGCGACUUGCUGGGCAGCAACUGACGCUGAGGCGCGAAUGCCAGGGGAGCAAAC
Molecule: ribosomal RNA, 403 nt
Filed under: uncultured bacterium
Lineage: Bacteria
Description: bacterial SSU rRNA
Rfam family: Bacterial small subunit ribosomal RNA
Source: RNAcentral